Molecule: ribosomal RNA, 467 nt
Filed under: uncultured bacterium
Lineage: Bacteria
Description: partial 16S ribosomal RNA
Rfam family: Bacterial small subunit ribosomal RNA
Source: RNAcentral
GACGAACGCUGGCGGCGUGCUUAACACAUGCAAGUCGAACGGAAAGGCCUCUUUCGGGGGGUACUCGAGUGGCGAACGGGCGAGUAACACGUGAGUAACCUGCCCUUGUCUUUGGGAUAACUUCAUGAAACUGGGGCUAAUACCGGACAGGAGCUCCUGCUGCACGGUGGGGUUUGGAAAGUUUCGGCGGUUGGGGAUGGACUCGCGGCUUAUCAGCUUGUUGGUGGGGUAGUGGCUUACCAAGGCUUUGACGGGUAGCCGGACUGAGAGGGUGACCGGCCACAUUGGGACUGAGAUACGGCCCCGACUGCUACGGGAGGGAGCAGUGGGGAAUAUUGCACAAUGGGUGGAAGCCUGAUGCAGCAACGCCGUGUGCGGGAUGACGGCCUUCGUGUUGUAAACCGCUUUCGCUCAUGACGAAGCUUUGUGUGACGGUAGUGGGUAAAGAAGCACCGGCUAACUACGUG